GACGAACGCUGGCGGCGUGCUUAACACAUGCAAGUCGAACGGAAAGGCCCUGCUUUUGUGGGGUGCUCGAGUGGCGAACGGGUGAGUAACCCGUGAGUAACCUGCCCUUGACUUUGGGAUAACUUCAGGAAACUGGGGCUAAUACCGGAUAGGAGCUCCUGCUGCAUGGUGGGGGUUGGAAAGUUUCGGCGGUUGGGGAUGGACUCUCGGCUUAUCAGCUUGUUGGUGGGGUAGUGGCUUACCAAGGCUUUGACGGGUAGCCGGCCUGAGAGGGUGACCGGCCACAUUGGGACUGAGAUACGGCCCAGACUCAUACGGAAGGCAGCAGUGGGGAAUAUUGCACAAUGGGCGGAAGCAUGAUGCAGCAACGCCGCGUGCGGGAUGACGGCAUUCGGGUUGUAAACCGCUUUCGCCUGUGACGAAGCGUGAGUGACGGUAAUGGGUAAAGAAGCACCGGCUAACUACGUG
This 468-nucleotide ribosomal RNA is filed under the name uncultured bacterium. Its description in RNAcentral is "partial 16S ribosomal RNA". It matches the Rfam family "Bacterial small subunit ribosomal RNA", at positions 28 to 507 of the family's 1533-position model. The record is from RNAcentral.